RNAcentral lists this ribosomal RNA (253 nucleotides) under uncultured bacterium. Its description in RNAcentral is "partial 16S ribosomal RNA". It matches the Rfam family "Bacterial small subunit ribosomal RNA", at positions 524 to 776 of the family's 1533-position model. The record is from RNAcentral.
GACAGAGGUGCCGAGCGUUAGGCGGAAUCACUGGGCUUAAAGCGUGUGUAGGCGGAUGCCUAAGUACCUUGUGAAAUCCCACGGCUUAACCGUGGAACUGCUUGGUAUACUGGGUGUCUUGAGCCACUUAGGGGCGACCGGAACAAACGGUGGAGCGGUGAAAUGCGUAGAUAUCGUUUGGAACGCCAAUGGUGAAAACAGGCCGCUGGGAGUGUGCUGACGCUGAGACACGAAAGCCAGGGGAGCGAACGGG